UACGAAGGGGGCGAGCGUUGUUCGGAUUUACUGGGCGUAAAGGGCGCGCAGGCGGCCAUUUAAGUCAGGCGUGAAAGCCCCGGGCUUAACCUGGGAGGUGCGUCUGGGACUGGGUGGCUAGAGAUCGGGAGAGGAGAGUGGAAUUCCCAGUGUAGAGGUGAAAUUCGUAGAUAUUGGGAAGAACACCGGUGGCGAAGGCGGCUCUCUGGACCGAUACUGACGCUGAGGCGCGAAAGCGUGGGGAGCAAACAGG
This 253-nucleotide ribosomal RNA is filed under the name uncultured bacterium. Its description in RNAcentral is "partial 16S ribosomal RNA". It matches the Rfam family "Bacterial small subunit ribosomal RNA", at positions 524 to 776 of the family's 1533-position model. The record is from RNAcentral.